RNAcentral lists this ribosomal RNA (270 nucleotides) under uncultured bacterium. Its description in RNAcentral is "partial 16S ribosomal RNA". It matches the Rfam family "Bacterial small subunit ribosomal RNA", at positions 28 to 317 of the family's 1533-position model. The record is from RNAcentral.
GAUGAACGCUGGCGGCGUGCCUUAGGCAUGCAAGUCGAACGGGUUCCGUAAGGAACCAGUGGCAGACGGGUGAGUAACGCGUAGGAAUCUACCUCUGGGUAGGGCAUAGCUGGCCGAAAGGUCAGGUAAUUCCCCUAUAGUCUCGCAAGAGUAAAGGACUUAACGGUCCGCCGAGAGAGGAGCCUGCGUCCUAUCAGCUAGUUGGUGAGGUAAAGGCUCACCAAGGCGAUGACGGGUAGCUGGACUGAGAGGUCGAUCAGCCACAACUGC